GACAGAGGGUGCAAACGUUGUUCGGAAUUACUGGGCGUAAAGCGCACGUAGGCGGAUCUUUAAGUCAGGGGUGAAAUCCUGGAGCUCAACUCCAGAACUGCCUUUGAUACUGGGGGAUCUCGAGUCCGGAAGAGGUGAGUGGAACUCCGAGUGUAGAGGUGAAAUUCGUAGAUAUUCGGAAGAACACCAGUGGCGAAGGCGGCUCACUGGUCCGGUACUGACGCUGAGGUGCGAAAGCGUGGGGAGCAAACAGG
RNAcentral lists this ribosomal RNA (254 nucleotides) under uncultured bacterium. Its description in RNAcentral is "partial 16S ribosomal RNA". It matches the Rfam family "Bacterial small subunit ribosomal RNA", at positions 524 to 776 of the family's 1533-position model. The record is from RNAcentral.